Molecule: ribosomal RNA, 253 nt
Filed under: uncultured bacterium
Lineage: Bacteria
Description: partial 16S ribosomal RNA
Rfam family: Bacterial small subunit ribosomal RNA
Source: RNAcentral
UACAGAGGGGGCAAGCGUUGUUCGGAAUUACUGGGCGUAAAGGGCGCGUAGGCGGCUUUCUAAGUCAGACGUGAAAUCCCUCGGCUCAACCGGGGAACUGCGCCUGAGACUGGAAGGCUUGAAUCCGGGAGAGGGAUGUGGAAUUCCAGGUGUAGCGGUGAAAUGCGUAGAUAUCUGGAGGAACACCGGUGGCGAAGGCGGCAUCCUGGACCGGUAUUGACGCUGAGGCGCGAAAGCCAGGGGAGCAAACGGG